RNAcentral lists this ribosomal RNA (642 nucleotides) under uncultured bacterium. RNAcentral describes it as "bacterial SSU rRNA". It matches the Rfam family "Bacterial small subunit ribosomal RNA", at positions 232 to 872 of the family's 1533-position model. The record is from RNAcentral.
CGCGGCCUAUCAGCUUGUUGGUGGGGUGAUGGCCUACCAAGGCGACGACGGGUAGCCGGCCUGAGAGGGUGUCCGGCCACACUGGGACUGAGAUACGGCCCAGACUCCUACGGGAGGCAGCAGUGGGGAAUAUUGCACAAUGGGCGCAAGCCUGAUGCAGCGACGCCGCGUGGGGGAUGACGGCCUUCGGGUUGUAAACCUCUUUCACCAUCGACGAAGGUCCGGGUUUUCUCGGAUUGACGGUAGGUGGAGAAGAAGCACCGGCCAACUACGUGCCAGCAGCCGCGGUAAUACGUAGGGUGCGAGCGUUGUCCGGAAUUACUGGGCGUAAAGAGCUCGUAGGUGGUUUGUCGCGUUGUUCGUGAAAUCUCACGGCUUAACUGUGAGCGUGCGGGCGAUACGGGCAGACUGGAGUACUGCAGGGGAGACUGGAAUUCCUGGUGUAGCGGUGGAAUGCGCAGAUAUCAGGAGGAACACCGGUGGCGAAGGCGGGUCUCUGGGCAGUAACUGACGCUGAGGAGCGAAAGCGUGGGGAGCGAACAGGAUUAGAUACCCUGGUAGUCCACGCCGUAAACGGUGGGUACUAGGUGUGGGUUUCCUUCCCUGGGAUCCGUGCCGUAGCUAACGCAUUAAGUACCCCGC